UACGGAGGGUGCGAGCGUUAAUCGGAAUUACUGGGCGUAAAGGGCAUGCAGGCGGUCCGACACGUUUUGUGUGACAGCGGGUGGCUUAACUACCCGAGGAUACGAAAGACGGUUGGACUUGAGGACUCGAGAGGGACACGGAAUUCCGGGUGGAGUGGUGAAAUGCGUAGAGAUCCGGAGGAACACCGAAGGCGAAGGCAGUGUCCUGGCGAGUGACUGACGCUGAGGUGCGAAAGCCAGGGGAGCGAACGGG
This 253-nucleotide ribosomal RNA is filed under the name uncultured bacterium. RNAcentral describes it as "partial 16S ribosomal RNA". It matches the Rfam family "Bacterial small subunit ribosomal RNA", at positions 524 to 776 of the family's 1533-position model. The record is from RNAcentral.